This is a non-coding RNA of Pelobates cultripes (western spadefoot toad), 770 nucleotides long. Lineage: Eukaryota; Metazoa; Chordata; Amphibia; Anura; Pelobatidae. The record is from the annotation of a GenBank genome assembly.
GUCACAUAUAUUUAUUAUCACACGACAAGUUAACAGUCAGCAGUUCAGUGGUUUUGUGUUUACAGUGUUAGCUUAUGUAUUGAAAUUAUUUGUACAGAAUAACUGUUACACAUUACAUACCACUGUAGAGUUGUAGUGUCAUUGUGUUUCAAAUAAGAUUACAAUCCUAAAAUCUAAAUGGCAUGGUGUUAACCAUGUUAUUUUUUUAACUGAAUAUAUUAGAGCACUACAAACAUUGAAUAGAAAUACUUUUUAGAGGGGAAACAAACAUUUACCUGAAACUUUGAUUUACGCAAAUGUAGAUUUGUCUUAACAAAAUUGUUCUCUAAAUUUAAUUUUUUUCUAAUAUGCCCCAACAAAUUAUUACCACAUUCACAUAAAGUUAAUUUCACCCAGUAACCAUAUCUUGGUAACAGUCAUGCAUUCUGAAUUAUUUAACUUGCCGUAUUUAAGCCGUAUAUUUCUCUGUCCUCAUUAAGUGCAACUUGAUGUUUGAUUGACCUAGUGCUAACUUAAAGGAACACUAUAGUUACCUAAAUUACUUUAGCUAAAUAAAGCAGUUUUAGUGUAUAGAUCAUUCCCCUGCAAUCUCACUGCUCAAUUCACUGUCAUUUAGGAGUUAAAUCACUUUGUUUCUGUUUAUGCAGCCCUAGCCACACCUCCCCUGGGUAUGAUUGACAGAGCCUGCAUGAAAAAAAAAAAAAAAAACUGGUUUCACUUUCAAACAGAUGUAAUUUACCUUAAAUCUCAAUCUCUAAAUUGAACUUUAA